GACGAACGCUGGCGGCGUGCCUAAUACAUGCAAGUAGAACGCUGAAGGAGGAGCUUGCUCUUCUGGAAGAGUUGCGAACGGGUGAGUAACGCGUAGGUAACCUGCCUGGUAGCGGGGGAUAACUAUUGGAAACGAUAGCUAAUACCGCAUAAGAUUGAAUAUCGCAUGAUAAUUGAUUAAAAGAUGCAAUUGCAUCACUACCAGAUGGACCUGCGUUGUAUUAGCUAGUAGGUGAGGUAACGGCUCACCUAGGCGACGAUACAUAGCCGACCUGAGAGGGUGAUCGGCCACACUGGGACUGAGACACGGCCCAGACUCCUACGGGAGGCAGCAGUAGGGAAUCUUCGGCAAUGGGGGCAACCCUGACCGAGCAACGCCGCGUGAGUGAAGAAGGUUUUCGGAUCGUAAAGCUCUGUUGUAAGAGAAGAACGAGUGUGAGAGUGGAAAGUUCACACUGUGAC
RNAcentral lists this ribosomal RNA (461 nucleotides) under Streptococcus sp. oral taxon 056. Its description in RNAcentral is "bacterial SSU rRNA". It matches the Rfam family "Bacterial small subunit ribosomal RNA", at positions 28 to 473 of the family's 1533-position model. Lineage: Bacteria; Bacillati; Bacillota; Bacilli; Lactobacillales; Streptococcaceae. The record is from RNAcentral.